Molecule: RNA transcript, 1121 nt
Organism: Mercenaria mercenaria
Lineage: Eukaryota; Metazoa; Mollusca; Bivalvia; Venerida; Veneridae
Exons: 8
Source: RefSeq, a predicted model, not a curated record
CUAAACAUUUUGAAAAAUGCCUUUUGUAGUAUGUGUAAAAGGAAAGCAGAAUGUCUUAGAGACAAAUAACUACAGAAAUAAAGAGAUGCAGGCCUUUGUUCUACAUGGUGAAAGAGGGAAUUAUAGUGGAUUUUUGGAUUUACCAGGUAGAUCAUGGAUACAUGUGCGCAUGUUUAAGAGGUCUAAAUCCAUUGGAAUGCAGCAGUGAAACCUGUGAAGAAGAGUUAGUGAAGCAGAAUAGUUACAGAUCAUAAGAAAUGCAGGUCUUUGUUCAGCAUGGUGUAUAUGGAAAACAUAGUGGAUGGCCAGCCUAGAAAAUAUUUAAUGAAGAAAUAUAUUAGGCAGAGCUAUCAGCAGUAUAACAGACACAGCAAGAAGUACACUUUGUUUUGCACAGAUUUGUGUUCCACAAGUAUGGCCAUGAAGGGAUUUUCAUAGAAAAAAGUAAGAAAAUGUGAUGCUGCAUGAAUGCAAAGAGAGAAAAAAGCUACAUACCUAGAAGUUCAGUCAUUCAGGCCUGUAGGCCUUUGCAGUUGCUCUUCAAAUAAACUACAGAUGUUGGUUUGCGAUGCUUUGACAAAGUACGGGAAAAUAAAAGCUCUCACCCAGGUGUUCCUCUUACACGAGCAUGAAGAAAAGGGAGUUGCUGGAGGUAUUGCUAUGUUCUUGUUGCCCAGCUAGACAAAUUACAAGUAAGCCAAGUAGUUAUGAAUGUCGCCAUGGUUACAGAGUUCCGUCAGCAGCAAGCACAUACACGAUAUUUCCAUCAGGCACAUACCAGGACAGGACCCUUCAACACAUGUAUGUUUGGAUACUAUUGCAACAACUCUCAGACUGAUGGAUCCAUUAUUAACUAUACCACACUAUCAUAAAAUGACACCUCUUUAGAUGCAGGUGCUCAUAGAUUUGUAUGACCCUAACUGGAGUGCACAGUCAGACAAAAUAGCACCAGUUGCUGAGAACCAAGUUUCCCAGAAACAGAUAAUUUAAACGUAAUCUGACUUACAGUUUAUGAUAGAGUAUAUCUCAUUUCUCACAUGAUGUCAUUACCUGUAAAUGUUAAUUUUAUAAUGUAUAAAUGGAAUGACCAGCAAUAAGAAGCCAGUUUUGUGUUUUUAACU